AACCAAUAUAUAAUAGUGCGAGACAUUACUUUUGACAGCGUCCUCUGUACGGAGAUAUCAAUUCUCAAAUUAAUAUGGAAAAUACGAGUUUGUAUGGUGGAACGUCCACAGACGGGCCUGAGCGAGCUCUCCACGCCUUCCUACUAGCGAUAGUAGUUACCAGACUCUUAUAUGAUGCUUUGGAUGAUAGCAGAAAAUAGCUGAGAGACAGAGGAUAAAUAAAUAAACAAAAAGUAAAAAAUAAAAAUAACAAUUUGACAGUUUUUCAAGAGUUCAGCAUAGUCAGUUUGGAGUAGAUAGAUGAUUUUGUAAAUACAUACUAGUAAUUGGCAAUUGAUGAGCCUUUCAUUGCAAGUGCGCGG
This 362-nucleotide small RNA is filed under the name Histoplasma ohiense. RNAcentral describes it as "hypothetical lncRNA". The record is from RNAcentral. Lineage: Eukaryota; Fungi; Ascomycota; Eurotiomycetes; Onygenales; Ajellomycetaceae.